RNAcentral lists this microRNA (25 nucleotides) under Anopheles gambiae (African malaria mosquito). Its description in RNAcentral is "aga-miR-10373-5p". The record is from miRBase by way of RNAcentral. Lineage: Eukaryota; Metazoa; Arthropoda; Insecta; Diptera; Culicidae.
AAUACGUCUAGCUUUGGUAGCUUCU